GAUGAAGAACGCAGCGAAAUGCGAUAAGUAAUGUGAAUUGCAGAAUUCAGUGAAUCAUCGAAUCUUUGAACGCACAUUGCGCCCGCCAGUAUUCUGGCGGGCAUGCCUGUCUGAGCGUCAUUUCAACCCUCAUGCCCCUAGGGCGUGGUGUUGGGGAUCGGCCAAAGCCCGCGAGGGACGGCCGGCCCCUAAAUCUAGUGGCGGACCCGUCGUGGCCUCCUCUGCGAAGUAGUGAUAUUCCGCAUCGGAGAGCGAUGAGCCCCUGCCGUUAAACCCCCAACUUUCCAAGGUUGACCUCAGAUCAGGUAGGAAUACCCGCUGAACUUAAGCAUAUCAUUAAGCGGAGGA
Molecule: unclassified non-coding RNA, 348 nt
Filed under: soil metagenome
Description: partial contains 5.8S ribosomal RNA, internal transcribed spacer 2, and large subunit ribosomal RNA
Rfam family: 5.8S ribosomal RNA (bases 1-120)
Source: RNAcentral